GACGGUUCUGGGCUGCCCAAUUAGUUGUUGGUUCGGCUCACUCAAUUUGGUUCGACCAAUGCGGUUCAACUGGACACUUUCUCCAUAAUUAAUUACAAAUAAUUUAUUUAACCCAAAUUAAAUGGGUAUUAAAAUAUAAUUAAUUAAAUUAUGAAUUAAUACACAUUUCUGGGCCAUCUUAGGCUGGAAAUUAAUGUGUCUCAAAACUUCAAAUUUCUUCUCGAUUUUGUGCUUUCAACAGUGUCAGCGAGCCAGUUUUCU
This 261-nucleotide long non-coding RNA is filed under the name Gossypium barbadense (sea-island cotton). RNAcentral describes it as "long non-coding RNA (GBAR_LNC004568)". Lineage: Eukaryota; Viridiplantae; Streptophyta; Magnoliopsida; Malvales; Malvaceae. The record is from RNAcentral.